UUCUUACCUUUGUUUCCCCAGCCCUAGGGUUGGUGGUUUCUUCCUGCAGGUACCAUCUCUAUGAUCUCAGCUCUUCCCUCUUACUUCUCCAAUCCUCCAGUGCCCUAUAUUAAAUUCUCUCUGUUACGAUAACUAGUCUAGUUUUUGUUUUUCUAUCUGGACCCUUAGGUCUGACUGUUUACUAUGUGCUUCCCACAACUUUUGCUGCCUUGGACCCAGUUCUGACUUGGCUGUUUGAGGGGAAGCAGUUGGUGAGUCAAGCAGACACUGUCAGCUGACUUAAUUGGCACCAGAGCUUCACCAACGUGAAGACGGACUCCUUGUGGAGGCACCAGCUGCCCUGCAGAGGUGGAGGAACUGAUGCUGUUGCCUUGUAAUGCUUGUUCUGAUGCCUGCUGCCACAUGUUCAAUCCCUAUCAUCACCUUCAGUGCCUGUGUCAAACAUGACCUCCUCCAGGUUCAUGGAAAUCUAACAGGUCUUUGGAAAUUAUCUAGAGGCCUCCUCAUUUUAUCGUUGUGAAACUGAAGCAUAGACUUCAAUGCCUUCUCAUGGUCACGUGUCUGGAGAAUCAUAUCUUGCACUUGGACUCAGGUUCCUGGACCUCCAUCCCAGGUGUCCUGCCCUGACAAAUGAGUGAGCGAGUGAGUGAGCAGACACGCCUUGGAAAGGGCCAGUAGGUCAUUCCCAGAACCACAGCUGGCUUUGGGAG
Molecule: long non-coding RNA, 710 nt
Filed under: Homo sapiens (human)
Lineage: Eukaryota; Metazoa; Chordata; Mammalia; Primates; Hominidae
Description: HSALNT0316954
Source: RNAcentral